Zea mays is the source of this 8345-nucleotide RNA transcript. RefSeq lists it as uncharacterized. Lineage: Eukaryota; Viridiplantae; Streptophyta; Magnoliopsida; Poales; Poaceae. The record is from RefSeq and is marked validated. The transcript has 21 exons.
AAAGGCCAAAGCCCCACCUGCUCCGUCGAGUCCCGUCGGCUCGCCCCGUCUCCCUCCCUCCUCCUCCCUCAAAUCAUAUCAUCAGAGCGAGAGGGACGGCGAGAGGAGAGCUGGGAAGGACAGAGAGAGAGAGAGAGUGAAGAGAAAGAGUAGCGUUGAUACACCGUCGAAUCGAAUCGAGACCCUCCCUCCGCCCCACCGCACCCCCCAUAUCGCAUCGGAAUCCAGCAUCGCCAUCGCCACCCCUCCAUCGCACCACCGCUUUCCACUCUCCACUCCCUUCCCACCCUCGCCCCGCCCCGCCCCGCGCUUGCGUGAUUCGUACGGUUUAUCACCGCCUCUUUCUCUUCCACUCUCUCUCCGUGGUUGGGUCCGGCUCGGUCCGGUCCGGUCCGCCCGCCGCCGCCGCGGCACCCACUACAAGUAGUAGCGACAUUCGUCUUCGCCUCCUCUGCGAUUCUUAUUCUGAUCCCCCGCCUCCCAAAUGUGUUUUGCGCCUGCUGCCGCUGGUUGAAUACAGGAGGCGGGGCGUUGUUUGUUGUGGCCUGUAACUGUCGGCGUGGCAGCUGUUGGUGCAGAGCGAGAUGGCGGGAGGGCCAGGAGGAGGCGGCGACGCCGGCGGCGAGCACGCGGCGGCGGCGUACUGGUACGACGCGUGCGAGGACAGCGCCUCCCUGCUCUGCGGCAUCGACUUCGCCGCGUCCGCCGACUUCGACCCGGGCCUCAUACCGGCCAUGGACUGCGGCGCCGAUGACGGCUUCGUCGCCGAGAUCGACCGGAUACUCGAGAGCAUCAACGCCGAGGCCACCCCCGCACCGCCGCCUCCUCCUCCUGCGCCUGCGCCUGCGCCAGCGCCAGCGCCUGUGGCUCCGCUGCAGCCACAGCCGCAGUUGCAGGAGGCGGCUGCGACCGUGGCCCACAAUGCGGUGGCGGUGUCGGACGUGGCGCAGAGGGCCCCGGCCGUGGAAGCGAGGAAGGAGCCCAGGAGGGAGUUCCCGGUCGCCGCGGCCAAUGGCGGCGACGACUGCAGGGACAGCAAGCGCCAGCGUCUCCCUGCGGGUGGUACCGGGGGACCACGCCACGACUGGCGGCGGCGUCCGAUGGCGCCCCCGCCUCCAUCCCGUGGGUGGGAGGACCGGGGGCGCGGAAGGCGGGAGUACGACAGGCCUCGUAAGCGCGACCGCGACGGCCACUACGGCCAAUGCCAUGAUCACCACCGACGCGACCCUCGGGGUUUCUGGGAGCGCGACCGCGGCGGCAAGAUGGUGUUCCGCCAUGGCAUGUGGGAGGCUGAGGCGGACCGCCAGGGAAAGCGUGCCAGGACGAAGGAUGGAUGCCCUCCUGCGGAGAAUAAGGCGGAGGUGGAUCGGUCGGGGAAGGAGAAGCCUGCCACUGAGGAGAAGGCGAGGCAGUACCAGCUCGAGGUGCUUGAGCAAGCAAAGAGCAGGAACACAAUUGCUUUCCUUGAAACUGGUGCGGGGAAGACUCUCAUAGCUGUGUUGCUCAUCAAAAGCAUCUGUGACAAAAUGCUCAAGGAGAACAAGAAGAUCCUUGCUGUCUUCUUGGUGCCUAAGGUGCCCCUUGUGUAUCAGCAAGCUGAAGUGAUACGCGAGAGGACCGGCUAUCGUGUUGGGCACUACUGCGGGGAGAUGGGGCAGGAUUUCUGGGAUUCUAGAAAGUGGCAGCGCGAGUUUGAGUCAAAACAGGUACUUGUUAUGACAGCUCAAAUUUUGUUGAACAUCCUUAGGCACAGUAUUAUUAAAAUGGAUGCCAUACAUCUUUUGAUUUUAGAUGAGUGCCAUCAUGCAGUGAAAAAGCACCCAUAUUCUCUAGUAAUGUCAGAAUUCUAUCACACCACUCCAAAGGACAAGAGACCAUCUGUGUUUGGCAUGACUGCUUCACCUGUUAACCUGAAGGGAGUGACUAGCCAAGAAGAUUGUGCUAUCAAGAUACGGAAUCUUGAGAGUAAACUGGAUUGCAUAGUCUGUACGAUCAAAGAUCGGAAAGAGCUGGAGAAACAUGUUCCCAUGCCUUUGGAAGUCAUUGUCCACUACGACAAAGCAGCCACUCUUUUAUCUUUCCAUGAACAAAUCAAACAAAUGGAGGCUGCAGUUGAAGAAGCUGCACUUUCUAGUUCUAAGAGAACUAAAUGGCAGUUCAUGGGAGCUAGAGAUGCAGGGUCUAGAGAUGAGCUACGUCUUGUCUAUGGUGUUUCUGAGCGUACAGAAAGCGAUGGUGCAGCUAAUUUAAUUCAGAAGUUGAGAGCUAUAAACUAUGCUCUGGGUGAACUAGGACAGUGGUGUGCUUACAAGGUUGCACUGUCAUUCUUGACAGCACUACAGAAUGAUGAAAGGGCCAACUAUCAGGUUGAUGUUAAGUUUCAAGAGUCAUACUUGAGAAAGGUAGUUGAUUUGUUACACUGCCAGUUGACUGAAGGGGCUGCAAUGAAAAGUGACAGUAAUGAUGUUGAAAUGCAUAAUUCUGAAAACCCCAAGCCAAAUGAACUUGAGGAGGGAGAGCUACCUGACAGUCAUGCUGUUUCUGUAGGUGAACAUGUAGAUGAAGUCAUUGGUGCCGCAGUGGCCGAUGGAAAAGUUACCCCAAGGGUGCAAGCUUUGAUAAAAAUACUUCUCAAGUAUCAGCACACUGAGGAUUUUCGUGCUAUCAUAUUUGUAGAGCGAGUGGUUACAGCAUUAGUCCUCCCUAAGGUCUUUGCAGAACUUCCAUCGUUGGGCUUUAUACGGUGUGCAAGCUUGAUAGGUCAUAACAAUAACCAGGAGAUGCGGUCGUGCCAAAUGCAGGAUACAAUCACAAAAUUUCGUGAUGGCCGUGUUACACUGUUAGUUGCAACUAGUGUUGCAGAGGAAGGACUUGAUAUUAGGCAGUGCAAUGUUGUCAUUCGCUUUGACCUUGCAAAGACUGUUUUGGCCUACAUUCAGUCUCGGGGUCGUGCUAGAAAGCCUGGAUCUGACUACAUAUUGAUGCUUGAAAGAGGAAAUAUGUCUCAUGAAGCUUUCUUGAGAAAUGCUCGGAAUAGUGAAGAGACAUUGAGAAAAGAAGCUAUUGAGAGAACUGAUCUCAGUCAUCUCGAUGGCACUUCUAUGCUAAGCCCUGUUGAUAUAUCACCUGAUUCUAUGUAUCAGGUUGAAUCAACAGGUGCCGUUGUCAGUCUGAACUCUGCAGUUGGACUCGUACAUUUUUACUGCUCACAGCUGCCGAGUGACAGAUACUCUAUUCUUCGACCGGAAUUUAUUAUGCAAAAGCAUGAGAAACCAGGGGGUUCAACAGAAUAUUCUUGCAAACUUCAACUCCCUUGUAAUGCCCCAUUCGAGAAACUUGAAGGUCCUAUAUGCAGUUCAAUACGCCUGGCCCAACAAGCUGUUUGUUUAGCUGCUUGUAAGAAGCUACAUGAGAUGGGUGCCUUCACAGAUAUGCUUUUACCUGACAGAGGAAGUGGGGAAGGAGAAAAGACUGAACAAAAUGAUGAAGGUGAUCCACUGCCUGGAACAGCACGCCAUAGAGAGUUCUUUCCUGAAGGGGUUGCUGAAAUUCUACAUGGAGAAUGGAUUUUAUCUGGAAGAGAUGGUUACCAAAGUUCACAGUUUAUUAAGUUAUAUUUGUAUUCUGUGAACUGUGUAAACAUUGGGACUUCAAAGGACCCUUUCGUUACACAACUUUCAAAUUUUGCUCUUAUUUUUGGCAAUGAGCUGGAUGCAGAGGUUUUAUCGACGACGAUGGAUCUCUUUGUUGCUAGGACAAUAAUAACAAAGGCAUCUCUCGUAUUCCGUGGACCAAUUGAAAUUACAGAAAGUCAGCUGAUCCUGCUUAAGAGCUUUCAUGUUAGGCUCAUGAGCAUUGUACUUGAUGUUGAUGUUGAUCCCUCAACAACUCCUUGGGAUCCAGCAAAAGCAUACCUCUUUGUUCCUGUGGGAGCUGAGAAAUGUAUGGAUCUUUUAAGAGAGAUAGAUUGGACUCUAGUUAAUAGCAUUGUGAAUUCUGAUGCCUGGAACAACCCUCUUCAGAGGGCACGCCCAGAUGUCUAUCUAGGCACGAACGAAAGGACACUUGGAGGGGAUAGGAGGGAAUAUGGGUUCGGGAAGUUGCGCCAUGGAACUGCAUUUGGACAGAAAGCCCACCCUACGUAUGGUAUCAGAGGAGCCAUCGCUGAAUUCGAUGUUGUCAAAGCGUCUGGAUUAGUUCCUGGUCGUGGAUGGGGACAUUUUAAUGAUUAUCAAAAUAAAGGCAAGUUGUUCAUGGCAGAUUCAUGUUGGGAUGCCAAAGAUCUUGCUGGAAUGGUUGUAACUGCCGCCCACUCAGGAAAAAGGUUCUAUGUGGACAGUAUUUGCUAUAAUAUGAAUGCAGAAAAUUCUUUCCCUAGGAAAGAGGGCUAUCUGGGUCCCUUGGAAUACAGCUCGUUUGCUGAUUACUACAAGCAGAAGUAUGGUGUGGAGUUAGUUUAUAAGAAACAACCUCUUAUACGGGCACGCGGUGUUUCAUACUGCAAAAAUCUACUUUCUCCUAGAUUUGAGCAUUCUGAAGCUAGCAAUGGAGAGUUCUCAGAGAAUCUUGACAAGACAUACUAUGUAUAUUUACCACCCGAAUUGUGCCUUGUGCAUCCUCUCCCCGGAUCACUUGUUCGUGGAGCUCAGAGGUUACCCUCAAUAAUGAGAAGGGUGGAGAGCAUGCUUCUUGCAAUUCAACUGAAGGACAUAAUUGGGUAUCCAGUUCCUGCAAAUAAGAUAUUAGAAGCCUUGACUGCUGCGUCAUGCCAGGAGACAUUCUGCUAUGAAAGAGCAGAGCUGCUGGGUGAUGCAUACUUGAAAUGGGUUGUGAGUAGAUUCCUUUUCCUAAAAUAUCCUCAAAAGCAUGAGGGACAGCUCACAAGGAUGCGGCAGCAGAUGGUUAGCAACAUGAUCCUGUAUCAAUACGCCCUGAAUAAAAACCUCCAAUCUUAUAUCCAAGCAGAUCGAUUUGCUCCAUCAAGAUGGGCAGCUCCAGGAGUGUUACCUGUAUUUGAUGAAGAAACGAGAGAUUCUGAACCAUCCAUCUUUGAUGAGGAAUUUACUCCUAGCAGUGAGUUACAAAAGAACUUGUAUGAUGACUAUGAUGGCGAUAGCAUGCAAGAAGACGGUGAAAUUGAGGGAGAUUCUAGCUGCUAUCGUGUUCUAUCAAGCAAAACAUUAGCAGAUGUUGUGGAAGCACUUAUUGGUGUCUAUUAUGUAGCUGGAGGGAAAAUUGCUACAAACCAUCUGAUGAAAUGGAUCGGUAUUAAUGCAGAGUUGGAUCCUCAAGAGAUCCCAUCUUCGAAGCCAUAUAACAUACCUGAGAGCAUAAUUAAAAGCAUCAAUUUUGACACAUUAGAGGGUGCAUUGGGUAUCAAGUUUCAGAAUAAAGGCUUACUUGUUGAAGCUAUAACACAUGCAUCAAGACCAUCAUCAGGUGUUUCCUGUUACCAGCGCCUGGAAUUUGUUGGUGAUGCUGUAUUGGACCAUCUCAUUACGAAGCACUUAUUUUUUACUUAUACGGACCUACCUCCAGGCCGCUUGACUGACUUGAGAGCUGCAGCUGUUAAUAAUGAGAACUUUGCAAGGGUUGCAGUUAAACAUAAGCUACAUGUACAUCUUCGCCAUGGAUCAUCUGCAUUGGAGACACAGAUUCGAGAGUUUGUGAAGGAUGUCCAGGAGGAGCUUUCGAAACCAGGUUUCAAUUCUUUUGGCCUUGGGGAUUGUAAGGCUCCAAAGGUUCUCGGAGACAUUUUUGAGUCUAUUGCUGGCGCAAUAUUCCUUGAUAGUGGGUGUGCUACCUCCGUAGUCUGGAAGGUUUUUCAGCCUCUGCUUGAUCCAAUGGUGACGCCGGACACCCUUCCGAUGCACCCUGUAAGGGAGCUCCAAGAGCGCUGCCAGCAGCAAGCCGAAGGAUUAGAAUACAAAGCAUCCCGUACAGGCAAUGUAGCUACAGUUGAAGUCUUGGUUGAUGGCAUACAGAUUGGUGUAGCUCAGAACCCACAGAAGAAGAUGGCACAAAAGUUGGCGGCUAGAAAUGCACUUGUUGUCUUGAAAGAGAAGGAAACCGCAGCAAAGAAAGACACUGAAAAGGAUGGCGAGAAGAAAAACGGUUCUCAGUUCACUAGGCAGACUCUGAACGACAUCUGCUUGAGAAGGCAAUGGCCGAUGCCACAGUACAGGUGUAUAAACGAGGGUGGCCCUGCCCAUGCCAAAAGAUUUGUUUAUGCGGUAAGGGUAAAUACAUCUGACAGUGGAUGGACUGACGAGUGCAUUGGAGAGCCAAUGCCGAGUGUGAAAAAGGCCAAGGACUCUGCAGCUGUUCUUCUGCUCGAGCUGCUGAAUCGAAAUUACCGUGGCAAGCCUGAUGGAAAAUAAUCUUUGGUGAUGUUCUGUGGUGGUAGGUAGACGUGGAAGCAUCCAUCAUUCUGAUUAUACCCCCAUGCAGUGCUUUUCAGCAAAGCAAAUUAAUGGCCUUUGUUGAUGUUCUUGGUGGCGGUAUUGGUGAUAUGGAGGCAUUCAAUGCAAGCAUAAGCAGAGCUAUGGGGAGUGGGAUUAGAGGAUUAUUAUUAGUUUUGUCUGAGGUGACUACUAGGUAUUUUACUGGCGAGGAUGCGCCUGCAGCUGGGAACUCGGGGUUCUCUAUCUUGGCCUCGCCGACCAAAUAUCACGUACGUCGACGUCCGCGAACAGUAUAUAUAUGGUAGGCUUGGCGGGCGUGAUCCCCUUGCGCAUGGUACAGAGCAAGACGCUGAGCUGGAUAUUCUGAUAAUCCCGUAUACUCCAACAGAAACUACAGAAUGGAAUCAAGUUGUACCUGCGUUUCUGCUGCUCAAAAAUUGCGAGAUGGACCAUGGACGUGUGUUGUUUGGCAACAACGACGCAACCAGCACGGACAAGAAGGGGGGACAUGCAGUCUCUCGAAACCUGUCCUAUACAAUUAGAAAGAAAAAAAAGAGGGAAAAUAAAAGGAAAAGAACGCGAGGGCAGGGCCGGCCGGUCGGUCGGUGCCUGCGCCGCACUUUUGUCAUGUGCCUAGCACAAUCGAGGGCCUCACCUGCCCGCCUACCUAAAAAAUAGUCUUUUGGACAUUAAUGAUCACGAGCGAGCUGGGCUGCCAAAAUGCUGCAUGAUUCAUGUUUUGUGAAAGACAAAGCUGCAUCAUUGAUUGAUUAGCGCCUGAGGCUUGAAAGGAGGAGGGGGGAGAGAAGGAAAAGAAGCUUGCGAUUUGGCCACUGAAAGUGGAUCCAACUUUGCACCCAACAGCCAGCAUGGGGAACCUGAUCCGGCCAGGGCGUGCACACGAUAACGAAGGGCUUUACGUUCUUUCCUCGUAAAAAAAAAGAGAAGAAAAGAAAAGACGAUGAUCAUGCUCCGAUGAUCCCUACCCAGCACAGUACAGACUACAGAGUACAGACUGAUUCGAAGCACAAGAUGCUGUGAAUUCCGGGUUCAGUCUCAGUUCCAGUAGCGCUGGCGCUGCCAAGGGCCAAGCCUGGAUACUGAACUACUGAAGCUUCGCGUGAGCGCCCCGCACCGGAGUUCGUCUUCCUGGAAUUGGGGUCAAAUGAUCUACUGACUGAUUGGCCACUGAUGGCGACGGCACGGACCUGAUGGACCUGCCUCCAUGUGCAGCACCGCGCCGGAGCCGGACUGGAGUAGCAGGAAGGAGUACGAAGACAGGCAGGCGGAGCCGCGGAGGCAUGGACCUGAAUGAAACUGGCAGUACAUAGCUGCUAGCUUAGCACUUGGCAACGCGCCAACGCCGUUAUUUGCUGUAGCAGAAGCCGAGGCUGAGCUGGGAUGACGUUACAGUAACAGUUACCACAGCGCUGUACCUAAGUGUCAGUCUGUAACAAUAAUAAAAAAAGGUGCUGUAACAACAAACAACAGUGAAAAAAGAAGGUUCCACUCCAGUCUCCAGCUCCCAGCUCCGCUUCCACACCGGCAGUGGCUGGUUCAGAUCUCAGAGAUCUUCAGCAUUCCAUGCAUUCGGUUCAGAGAGACAGAGUCUAGCUAUCUUUCUUUCUUCAGUACGUGACCCGGCUUUACCAGCCAACAAACUGCGUGGACCAGACGGCGGGCUCUGCACUGGUGGAUGCAUCCAUCCAUGCUUCCUUUUGGGUAAAGCUUGAAGAAUGGCGCCUGGCGCGGCUGUAGAAAAGCUCUCUGCCUCCUUUUUUUUUUUAACGUGGAAGGCACUCGGAUGUGAGGCUUCUUUUUUUUUUUUUAACCCCACUUCUGAUGCCAGAAUCUAUUGUGGCCUCGUCAGCUGCCUGCUCCUAACUAACUAACCACACGUGUACGCACGAGCACUCGUAAACUUGUCUUUGUUACGGACUA